GAUGAACGCUGGCGGCGUGCCUAAUACAUGCAAGUCGAGCGAACAGAUAAGGAGCUUGCUCCUUUGAAGUUAGCGGCGGACGGGUGAGUAACACGUGGGUAACCUACCUAUAAGACUGGGAUAACUUCGGGAAACCGGAGCUAAUACCGGAUAACAUUUAGAACCGCAUGGUUCUAAAGUGAAAGAUGGUUUUGCUAUCACUUAUAGAUGGACCCGCGCCGUAUUAGCUAGUUGGUAAGGUAACGGCUUACCAAGGCGACGAUGCGUAGCCGACCUGAGAGGGUGAGCGGCCACACUGGAACUGAGACACGGUCCAGACUCCUACGGGAGGCAGCAGUAGGGAAUCUUCCGCAAUGGGCGAAAGCCUGACGGAGCAACGCCGCGUGAGUGAUGAAGGGUUUCGGCUCGUAAAACUCUGUUAUUAGGGAAGAACAAAUGUGUAAGUAACUGUGCACAUCUUGACGGUACCUAAUCAGAAAGCCACGGCUAACUACGUG
This 497-nucleotide ribosomal RNA is filed under the name uncultured bacterium. RNAcentral describes it as "partial 16S ribosomal RNA". It matches the Rfam family "Bacterial small subunit ribosomal RNA", at positions 28 to 507 of the family's 1533-position model. The record is from RNAcentral.